Molecule: ribosomal RNA, 245 nt
Filed under: uncultured bacterium
Lineage: Bacteria
Description: partial 16S ribosomal RNA
Rfam family: Bacterial small subunit ribosomal RNA
Source: RNAcentral
UAGGGGGCGAGCGUUGUCCGGAAUGACUGGGCGUAAAGGGAGUGUAGGCGGCUAUGUAAGUUAGAUGUGAAAACCCACGGCUUAACCGUGGAACUGCAUCUAAAACUGUGUAGCUGGAGUGCAGGAGAGGUGAGUGGAAUUCCUAGUGUAGCGGUGGAAUGCGUAGAUAUUAGGAGGAACACCAGAGGCGAAGGCGACUCACUGGACUGUAACUGACGCUGAGGCUCGAAAGCGUGGGGAGCAAA